RNAcentral lists this small nuclear RNA (165 nucleotides) under Anneissia japonica. RNAcentral describes it as "U1 spliceosomal RNA". It matches the Rfam family "U1 spliceosomal RNA". From Rfam's summary of the family: U1 is a small nuclear RNA (snRNA) component of the spliceosome (involved in pre-mRNA splicing). Lineage: Eukaryota; Metazoa; Echinodermata; Crinoidea; Comatulida; Comatulidae. The record is from RNAcentral.
AUACUUACCUGGCACAGGAGUGACUUUGAUCAAGAAGGAAUGUCCUCCCAAGGUGAGGCCUCGGCAUUGCACUUGGCUGAGGUUGACCCUUGCGAUUCCCCCAAAUGUGUGGAACUCGGGUGUAUAAUUUAUGGUAGCGGGGGACUGCGUUCGCGCUAACCCCUA